Ricinus communis (castor bean) is the source of this 4325-nucleotide RNA transcript. It is a transcript of the gene named valine--tRNA ligase, mitochondrial 1, with no coding region annotated. The record is from RefSeq and is a predicted model, not a curated record. The transcript is spliced from 23 exons. Lineage: Eukaryota; Viridiplantae; Streptophyta; Magnoliopsida; Malpighiales; Euphorbiaceae.
UAUCAAAACAUCUAGGGUUUAAAGUUCUUUUGACGGAUGCAUUAUUCCUUUCAUUUUUUCCGAGUGAGAAUUGUUGUACAAUAACACAGAAUCAAGCAAAUUCCGGCUAAAUCGCGUCUUACUUAUCGGCGGCGCCGCUGCCGCCCUUUGCAAUUAUCAUCGGCGCCGAAGACAGAUUGUACUAAGUUCGGUUUAUCAGCUCUAAUUAAACUCUAAAAAAAAUGUCAGAACAACAACCAGAGAGGAAGAUUGAGACGCAAGAGGAGCUCGAGCGCAAGAAAAAGAAGGAAGAAAAGGCCAAGGAAAAGGAAGCUAAGAAGCUAAAGGCUGCUCAGAAAGCUGCUGAAGCCGCUAAAUUGAAGGAACAACAAUCUGGUGGUAAUGCUGCUACGAAGAAGAGUGGUCCUAAAAAGAAUGCAAGGCGAGAUGUUGGUGGAACUGAAGAAAAUCCAGAGGAUCCUCAUACUCCUUUUGGUGAGAGGAAAAAACUCUCUGCUCAAAUGGCUAAACAAUACUCUCCAUCUGCUGUCGAGAAAUCAUGGUAUGCUUGGUGGGAAAAAUCUGGUUAUUUUACAGCCCAUGCAAAAAGCUCUAAACCACCAUUUACCAUUGUUUUUCCACCUCCAAAUGUGACUGGGGCCCUACAUAUAGGCCAUGCCCUUACAGCUGCUGUAGAGGAUACAAUUAUUCGAUGGCGGAGAAUGUCUGGAUAUAAUACCUUGUGGGUACCUGGUGUGGACCACGCAGGGAUAGCAACACAGGUGGUUGUAGAAAAGAAGCUGAUGCGUGAACGCCACUUAACCAGACAUGACAUUGGUCGUGAGCAAUUUGUUUCUGAAGUUUGGAAGUGGAAGGAGGAAUAUGGGGGUACCAUACUUGGACAGUUGCGAAGAUUAGGUGCCUCUCUUGAUUGGUCUCGUGAGUGUUUUACAAUGGAUGAGAAAAGAUCAAAGGCUGUGAUAGAGGAAUUUGUCCGGUUAUACAAGGAAGGUCUCAUCUAUAGGGAUCUCCGACUGGUGAAUUGGGAUUGCACAUUACGAACUGCUAUUUCUGAUAUCGAGGUAGAUUAUACUGACAUCAAAGAGAAGACACUGUUGAAGGUUCCUGGGUAUGAUAAGCCUGUGGAAUUUGGUCUAUUAACCUCAUUUGCUUACCCUCUGGAGGGAGAUUUGGGUGAAAUUGUUGUUGCCACUACCAGAAUCGAAACAAUGCUUGGUGAUACUGCUAUUGCUAUACAUCCUGAUGACCAGAGGUACAGUCACCUGCAUGGAAAAUUUGCAAUUCACCCUUUUAAUGGAAGAAGACUUCCAAUAAUAUGUGAUUCUGUUCUUGUUGAUCCCAAUUUUGGGACUGGUGCCGUCAAGAUUACUCCAGCACAUGACCCAAAUGAUUUUGAGGUUGGGAAACGUCACAAUCUUGAAUUUAUCAAUAUUUUUACCGAUGAUGGUAAGAUUAAUAGCAAUGGCGGCUCUGAGUUUACUGGGAUACCGCGUUUCAGGGCCCGUGAGGCAGUGACAGAAGCACUACAGGAAAAGGGAUUGUAUAGAGGUGCCAAAAACAAUGAGAUGCGACUUGGCUGUUGUUCAAGAAGCAAUGAGGUUGUGGAGCCAAUGAUAAAGCCCCAAUGGUUUGUUAACUGCAGUACUAUGGCGAAACAGGCUCUUGAUGCAGCUUUUGAUGGUGAAAAUCCAAAGCUUGAAUUUUUCCCGAAACAAUAUUUGGCUGAUUGGAAAAGGUGGCUUGAGAAUAUACGUGAUUGGUGCAUAUCAAGGCAGCUUUGGUGGGGUCACCGUAUUCCUGCGUGGUAUAUUACACUAGAAGAUGAUGAAUUGAAGGAAUUUGGUGUCUACAAUGACCAUUGGGUAGUUGGUAGAGAUGAGAAAGAGGCUUUAGAGGAGGCUAGUCUAAAAUUUGCUGGAAAGAAAUUUGAGAUGAGUCAAGAUCCUGAUGUUCUUGACACCUGGUUUUCUUCUGGUUUGUUUCCAUUGUCUGUGUUGGGUUGGCCAGAUGAUACUGAUGAUUUGAAAACAUUUUACCCAACUUCAGUGCUUGAAACUGGGCAUGACAUUCUAUUUUUCUGGGUUGCUCGGAUGGUGAUGUUGGGAAUUACACUGAGAGGUGAUGUGCCAUUUAGGAAGGUUUAUCUGCAUCCAAUGAUUCGUGAUGCACAUGGCCGCAAGAUGUCCAAGUCUUUGGGAAAUGUUAUUGACCCUCUUGAAGUAAUAAAUGGGAUAAACCUUGAAGGCCUUCACAAGAGACUGGAGGAAGGAAACUUGGAUCCAAAUGAGCUGGUGACUGCGAAAGACGGGCAGAAGAAAGACUUUCCUAAUGGUAUAGCUGAAUGUGGUGCAGAUGCUCUCCGAUUUGCUCUUGUUUCUUAUACAGCUCAGUCUGAUAAAAUAAAUUUAGACAUUCAAAGAGUUGUUGGAUAUCGUCAGUGGUGUAACAAAUUGUGGAAUGCUGUUCGAUUUGCUAUGAGCAAACUUGAUGCUGACUAUUCUCCUCCACUGACCUUACAUACUGAAGCUUUGCCUUUUAGCUGCAAGUGGAUACUCUCAGCACUUAACAAAGCCAUAGCCAGAACUGUUUCGGCAAUGAACUCAUAUGAAUUUUCAGAUGCUGCCAGCACAGUGUAUUCAUGGUGGCAAUAUCAAUUCUGUGAUGUUUUCAUUGAAGCAAUCAAGCCUUAUUUCGUUGGUGAUAAUCCAGAAUAUGCCUCUGCGAAGAAUGCUGCUCAAGGCACUCUUUGGGUGUGUUUGGACAAUGGCCUGCGGUUGCUUCAUCCAUUUAUGCCCUUUGUUACUGAGGAAUUGUGGCAACGUCUUCCUUCAGCUAGGGACCAUACAAGAAAAGACUCAAUUAUGAUAUCUGAAUAUCCAUCAGCUGUAGAAGCCUGGACAAAUGAACAGGUCGAAUAUGAAAUGGACCUUGUUGAGUCUACUGUGAAGUGUGUAAGAUCUCUAAGGGGUGAGGUGCUUGGUAAGCAGAAGAAUGAAAGACUACCGGCUUUUGCAUUUUGCCAAAGUGACGAAGUAGCCCGAAUUAUUAGCAGCCAUGAAUUGGAAAUUUUAACUCUUGCAACUUUAUCUUCUUUAGAGGUAUUAUUGAGUAGGAAAGAUGCUCCUCCAGCUGGAUGUGCAUUUGAGAAUGUCAACGAGAAUCUAAAAGUCUAUCUCAAGGCUCAAGGAAAAGUUGAUAGAGAAGGAGAGCUUGAGAAGGUCAGAAAUCAAAUGGAUGAUAAGCAAAAGCAAUAUGACAAAUUGGAUAAGAAGGUUAAUGCAUCCGGCUACAAAGAGAAAGUACCUGCUCAUAUUCAGGAGCAGGAAAUUGCUAAGCUGACUAAACUUCUUCAGGAAAUCGAAUUCUUUGAAAAAGAAAGCUCCCGGCUUGAAGCUGAGAUUGAGAAAGAGGGCAAGUAAUUUAAAGCUUCAAUAAAACCUAAAGAUGGGCUCUUUAUCCUCACAGAUCAAUGAAGAGAGAGGUGAAGCAAGACAGGAAGGGUUGCUAGGGGGGGCCUCCAUGCGCAUGAGAGAAACCUGAAGACAGCCAAAAAAAGGGGGGCCUACAUGCACCAUCUCUCAUAGUAGGGAUAGCUGUAAGAGUUUUUUUCUUGUAGUUGCUGAUCAGCAGACCUAUUACAUGAUCUAGGAGAAAAAGAAACAGCAUUAGCCCAACGUACGAGCUAUUCUAAACUUCUUGUGAGGUAUUUGAAAUUUGCCCCGUUAAAAGUUUGUUUGCCUUUAUUUAAUAAAGGCUUAAUUUCCUAUUUAGUCCCUAAAUUUUCAAUUUUUUUUUUCAAUUUUAUUCAAAUCUUUAGAAUUUGUCAAAAGUACAUCUGGACAAUGAAUUUUGCCUAAAAACACUAUCUGACCGAGUUUUUCCGGUUAGUGCAGAAUAUGUGGCAGGUUGGGAGACUCUCUCUUCUUGCAUCGACACUGAUGUACUGUCAUUGCUAAAAUCAAGCAAAAGGAAAAAGAAAAAUAGAAAGGAGUAAUAAUGAAAGACUAGAGUGGGAUCCAUUAGUAGACAACCACCUCAAGGGAUUGGGUUAAGGUUAAUUUUGAUGCUCCUAUUAGAAAUCACAUCAAUAGAGGAAGUGUUGGCACUAUAGCCCAGAAUAGGAAUAAUCAAAUAAUACAGUCACUUUCCAAGUUAUACAAGUCUUUUUUGUUAUGGAAAAUUUGGCUCUUUGACACACUAUGAAAUGGACAGAUGAGUAUAAUUAGCCAAAAGUAAUGUUUGAAGAUGAUGCUUUGCAAGUCAUUCAGAUAGUUGUGGGAACAAUGACGAUUCAUUCUUCUGUAUGCACUAUAUUUGCCGAUGAA